This 492-nucleotide ribosomal RNA is filed under the name uncultured bacterium. Its description in RNAcentral is "partial 16S ribosomal RNA". It matches the Rfam family "Bacterial small subunit ribosomal RNA", at positions 29 to 507 of the family's 1533-position model. The record is from RNAcentral.
AGUGAACGCUGGCGGUAGGCCUAACACAUGCAAGUCGAACGGCAGCACAGUAAGAGCUUGCUCUUACGGGUGGCGAGUGGCGGACGGGUGAGGAAUACAUCGGAAUCUACUUUUUCGUGGGGGAUAACGUAGGGAAACUUACGCUAAUACCGCAUACGACCUACGGGUGAAAGCAGUGGAUCUUCGGACCUUGCGCGAUUGAAUGCGCCGAUGUCGGAUUAGCUAGUUGGCGGGGUAAAGGCCCACCAAGGCGACGAUCCGUAGCUGGUCUGAGAGGAUGAUCAGCCACACUGGAGCUGAGACACGGUCCAGACUCCUACGGGAGGCAGCAGUGGGGAAUAUUGGACAAUGGGCGCAAGCCUGAUCCAGCCAUACCGCGUGUGUGAAGAAGGCCUUCGGGUUGUAAAGCCCUUUUGUUGGGAAAGAAAAGCAGCAGGUUAAUACCCCGCUGUUCUGACGGUACCCAAAGAAUAAGCACCGGCUAACUUCGUG